AGAGGAUGAUCUGCUACUAUUGUUGUCAGUAAUUUUUUACUUGAAGUGUCAUAGAGAUUAAUUCUUUUAUCCAAACCUACAGUUACAAGGAGCAACUCAUUUACUGGAGAAAAGCAGAUUUCUGAAGCUGGUGCUUUAUGGGUGUUCUCAAAAUUGCGAUACGGGUUCUGAGUAUUUACAUCCCACAGAGUUACAUUUCCACUGUCAGAAACACUGCCCAACAAGGACUUCUUAAAGGACGAGUAUUUCAAAUGUCGAAUAGGCUGUAAAACAAACACAAAUUGUAAGACCACCAUUAGACGUCACUGAAUUACUUUAAGCACGCACAUUAGAAAUGCAGACGUUAAGCUUACCCUACAAA
This 361-nucleotide long non-coding RNA is filed under the name Gallus gallus (chicken). The record is from RNAcentral. Lineage: Eukaryota; Metazoa; Chordata; Aves; Galliformes; Phasianidae.